RNAcentral lists this long non-coding RNA (1687 nucleotides) under Cucumis sativus (cucumber). Its description in RNAcentral is "long non-coding RNA (CSAT_LNC001969)". The record is from RNAcentral. Lineage: Eukaryota; Viridiplantae; Streptophyta; Magnoliopsida; Cucurbitales; Cucurbitaceae.
UUUUUUCUUUCUUGGUUGUGGUACCAGGGAGAAGAUGAAGAUGAAUCAUCUAGCUUGCGACACCUUAGAGCUGAUGAAAAUGAAUUCCAUCGGCCGGGUUGCGACACCUGUUAGAUGAUAAAGAUGAAUACUCUCAGCUACGACAUAUAGGAGAAGAUGAAGAUGAAUCCUCUCGGCUAUGACAUAUGGGAGGAGAUGAAGAUGAAUUCUCUUCAGUUGCAGCACUUGGAAGAAGAUGAAGAUGAAUCCUCUCGGCUAUGACAUAUGGUAAGGAGAUGAAUCCUCUCGACUAUGACAUAUGGGAGGAGAUGAAGAUGAAUCCUAUUCAAUUGCAGCACCUGGGAGAAGAUGAAGAUAAAUCCUCUCGGCUAUGACAUAUGGGAGAAGAUGAAGAUGAAUCCUCUCGGCUAUGACAUAUGAGAGAAGAUGAAUCAUUUUCGAUUGCAGCACCUGGGAGAAGAUGAAGAUGAAUCUUCUCAGCUAUGACAUAUAAGAGAAGAUGAAGAUGAAUCCUCUUUGAUUGUAGCACCUAGAAGAAGAUGAAGGUGAAUCCUUCCGGCUACGACAUAUGAAAGAAGAUGAAGAUGAAUCAUCUUUGGUUGCAACUCCUAAAAGAAGAUGAAGAUGAAUCUUCUUUGGUUGCGACACCUGAAAGAAGAUGAAGGUGAAUCUUCUCGGUUGCGACUCUUAGGAGAAGAUGAAGAUGAAUCCUCUCGGUUGCAACACAUAGGAGAAGACAAAGAUGAAUUCUCUCACUUGCGACACCUUAGAGAAGAUGAAGAUGAAUCAUCUUCGGUUGUUACACUUGAGAGAAGAUGAAAAUGAAUCUUCUCGAUUGCGACUCCUAGGUGAAGAUGAAGAUGAAUCAUCUCGGUUGUAACACAUGGAGGAAGACAAAGAUGAAUCCUCUCACUUGCGACACCUUAGAGCAGAUGAAGAUGAAUCAUCUUCGAUUGCAACACUUAGAAGAGAUGAAGAUGAAGAUGAAUCCUCUUCGGUUGCAACACCUAAGAGAAUAUGAAGAUGAAUCCUCUUCGGUUGCAACACCUAAGAGAAGAUGAAGAUGAAUCUUCUCGGUUGCGAUUCCUAGGAGAAGAUGAAGAUGAAUCCUCUCGAUUGCAACACAUGGGAGAAGAAAAAGAUGAAUCCUCUCACUUGCCACACCUUAGAGCAAAUGAAGAUGAAUCCUCUUCGGUUGUAGCACUUGGGAGAAGAUGAAGAUGAAUCCUCUUCAGUUGCUACACACCUGAGAGAAGAUAAAAAUGAAUCUUCUCGUUGCGGUUCCUAGAGAGAAGAUGAAGAUGAAUCCUCUCGGUUGCAAUAAGUUGAAGAUGAAGCAGAGGUUAAAGCUUUAGCAUUGUAUGCAUCUUCUUCAAGAGGCAGAAACGAUGUUACACUAUCGUUUUCAUCUUGGAGACGCGAAGGCAGAGCUGCCCGAUCGUCGUCCUAUCGAAGUUGUACCAUCGUUAUCCUCUCAAAGAGCUGGAGCUGCAGCAUCGAUGAAGCCUUGAAACUUGAAUAUAAGGAAUCAUCAAUGAAACCUUUAUGCUUGAAUAUGAGGGAUCAUUAAUGACGCCUUUGAGCUUGAUUUUGAGAUUUUUUUUUUUUUUUUUACAUGCACUCAACUUGUACAUAGUCUUUGCACGAAGUUUGUACAUCUUCAAUUUAUUUCAUCUCAUUGUUACUA